Molecule: ribosomal RNA, 269 nt
Filed under: uncultured prokaryote
Description: partial 16S ribosomal RNA
Rfam family: Bacterial small subunit ribosomal RNA
Source: RNAcentral
UACGGAGGAUGCAAGCGUUAUCCGGAUUUAUUGGGUUUAAAGGGUGCGUAGGCGGGAAAAUAAGUCAGUGGUGAAAUCCUACAGCUUAACUGUAGAAUUGCCGUUGAUACUGUUUUUCUUGAGUAUGGUCAAGGAAGGCGGAAUGUGUAAUGUAGCGGUGAAAUGCUUAGAUAUUACACAGAACACCAAUUGCGAAGGCAGCUUUCUGGCCCAUUACUGACGCUGAGGCACGAAAGCGUGGGGAUCGAACAGGAUUAGAUACCCGCGUA